CGCGCUUUUUACCUAUUUUUAUGGUAUUUUUAUGCAUUUUAUGCUUAUUUUUAGCAACCUUUACAAGUUGAUGCAAAGCAAAUAGAUUCUCCGCAUAAGAAAAGGUGUUCAUGAGUAACACAAACAGCCUUGAGUUGGCAAAAUAGUGCACUUAGGUGGCACAAAUACUUCUCUAGUAAGAAUAAGUUAAAAGCUUUUGGGAAAAGUGUGGGAAAUUUCUUGUCAAGUUUCGGGACGAAACUUCUUUUAAGAGGGGUAGAUUGUAAUCCCCCAUAAUUUUAUACAUUUUAUUAAUAUAUUUUAACGUAUAGUUAAUUAUAUUUAAAUAGAAUUUAUAAAUUUUAGAAAUAAAUAUAUAAUUAACGUAUAUUUAUUUUAUUUGAUUACAUUCUAAACAUUUUAACGAUUUAUGAAAUCAAAAAUAAUUUUAGAAUUUUAUGUUGAAAAGAAUUUGAAUUACGAAAAUACGUUUUUACUUAGAAAACAAUCAUAAUCGGUUUCGAAUUCAAACAUAAACUCAAUUAUAAUCCUAGCCCAAAUAACAAAGCCCAAAAUAAAUAACCCCAAAUAAACCCAUAACCCUUUCUCCUAUUCAACUUCACGUGAAACAAAAAUAAAAAGAGAAACAAAAGAAAACUCUCAAACCCUUGCUUCACCAUUCACGUGAAAACGCACAAGACUCUCUGCUUCAGCCACCGCCGCUCCUCCUUGCUGCUAUCCCUCACGCCGCCGUUCCUCUCUCCCGCCUUCACUUUCGUUGCUGCAGCCUCCCUCGCCGUCGGACCACCAUCACGCCACUGUUUCGUUCGCAGCAACCACCACCGCGCCACCAGCCGCGCCCAUAACGAUUGUUCGCCGCCGCACCACCAACAACCAUCGCGCGGACGCUGACACCCUCCGCCGUACUCCUCCGACCAGCGUCGCCGCCCACUGUUGCCGCGCCGCCCUGCCUGCCGGCCAGCAGCUUCCCUCUCCUCUCUUUUUUG
Long non-coding RNA from Spinacia oleracea (spinach), 986 nucleotides. RefSeq lists it as uncharacterized. The record is from RefSeq and is a predicted model, not a curated record. NCBI's taxonomy places the organism in Eukaryota, Viridiplantae, Streptophyta, Magnoliopsida, Caryophyllales, Amaranthaceae. The transcript has 3 exons.